AAGUUUCAACAACGGAUCUCUUGGCUCUCGCAUCGAUGAAGAACGCAGCGAAAUGCGAUAAGUAAUGUGAAUUGCAGAAUUCAGUGAAUCAUUGAAUCUUUGAACGCACCUUGCGCUCCUUGGUAUUCCUUGGAGCAUGCCUGUUUGAGUAUCAU
This 155-nucleotide ribosomal RNA is filed under the name Thanatephorus cucumeris. Its description in RNAcentral is "5.8S ribosomal RNA". It matches the Rfam family "5.8S ribosomal RNA". Rfam says of the family: 5.8S ribosomal RNA (5.8S rRNA) is a component of the large subunit of the eukaryotic ribosome. It is transcribed by RNA polymerase I as part of the 45S precursor that also contains 18S and 28S rRNA. Lineage: Eukaryota; Fungi; Basidiomycota; Agaricomycetes; Cantharellales; Ceratobasidiaceae. The record is from RNAcentral.